RNAcentral lists this long non-coding RNA (724 nucleotides) under Fragaria vesca (wild strawberry). Its description in RNAcentral is "long non-coding RNA (FVES_LNC005252)". Lineage: Eukaryota; Viridiplantae; Streptophyta; Magnoliopsida; Rosales; Rosaceae. The record is from RNAcentral.
UGUUUUUCUGGUAUAAACAUGAACCGGACAGAAUUCAGUCCAUCCAUUUGUUUUUCGAGUUUAAGGGCCUUAACGAUUACCAAAUUGGCUGAAAUUUUGCAGAGAUGAUCUACACAAUAUUAUCUAGAUACUAGACGGUGGAGAUGAGGAAAUUCGAUCGAAAAGUGGUGAAAAAAUGAAAAUCCGCACCAAACCAUUGGUGCGGACGUCCGCAGCUGAGAAAAAUCUUAUAUAUAUGGGUCCGGUUCAAAAUACACAAUAUUUGACAUCAUUUUUUACAUUGUUUUUUAUCCCUUAGAUUUUAGUUGAUCAAAUGGUUGUUAUUGUUUGUAAGUAUGAUUUGGCAAAUGACAUGACAAUAAUAUUAUUUUCAUACAAAAAUAUAAAUAAAUUUAGCUAAACAAUUUCUUCUAUAAAGAAAUUCGUUUACAUGAUCGAAGAACUCCAAAAGAAACAUCAUGUUCUUCACCAUGAAAUGAAAAUCAAUGGUGCUUAUAUGGCAAAUAUAUGUGCUUCUCUUCAAAUAAAAAUACUAACUUAAUAUCAAUCUCAGUAUCAUCUAAUCUCUCUCUUCACACAAGUAAAUCAAUCUUCUUAAUUGAUUUCUAUAACUAAUCGGCAAUCUAAUCAAUCGUGUUUUAUAUACCUUUUAGGCAUGAGCAAACCCUAUUGUAUGAACUAAGGAGAUUAGUUGUGGCCAUAAGCAAACCUUGUAGUACGCCCA